AGAGUUUGAUCAUGGCUCAGAGUGAACGCUGGCGGCAUGCCUAACACAUGCAAGUCGAACGGUAACAGGCCCGCAAGGGUGCUGACGAGUGGCGGACGGGUGAGGAAUACAUCGGAAUUUGCCCAGUCGUGGGGGAUAACGUAGGGAAACUUACGCUAAUACCGCAUACGACCAAACGGUGAAAGCGGGGGAUCAGCAAUGACCUCGCGCGGAUGGAUAAGCCGAUGUCGGAUUAGCUAGUUGGCGGGGUAAAAGCCCACCAAGGCGACGAUCCGUAGCUGGUCUGAGAGGAUGAUCAGCCACACUGGGACUGAGACACGGCCCAGACUCCUACGGGAGGCAGCAGUGGGGAAUAUUGGACAAUGGGGGCAACCCUGAUCCAGCAAUGCCGCGUGUGUGAAGAAGGCCUUCGGGUUGUAAAGCACUUUUAUCCGGAACGAAACGCGCAGGGUGAAUAUCCUUGCGAACUGACGGUACCGGAGGAAUAAGCACCGGCUAACUUCGUGCCAGCAGCCGCGGUAAUACGAAGGGUGCAAGCGUUACUCGGAAUUACUGGGCGUAAAGGGUGCGUAGGUGGUUUUUUAAGUCCGUUGUGAAAUCCCUGGGCUCAACCUGGGAAUGGCAGUGGAUACUGGAAAGCUAGAGUGCGGUAGAGGGUAGUGGAAUUCCCGGUGUAGCAGUGAAAUGCGUAGAGAUCGGGAGGAACACCAGUGGCGAAGGCGGCUACCUGGACCAGCACUGACACUGAGGCACGAAAGCGUGGGGAGCAAACAGGAUUAGAUACCCUAGUAGUCC
Molecule: ribosomal RNA, 795 nt
Filed under: uncultured bacterium
Lineage: Bacteria
Description: bacterial SSU rRNA
Rfam family: Bacterial small subunit ribosomal RNA
Source: RNAcentral